This is an RNA transcript of Magnolia sinica, 639 nucleotides long. It is a transcript of the gene named nuclear-pore anchor-like, with no coding region annotated. The transcript is spliced from 5 exons. The record is from RefSeq and is a predicted model, not a curated record. NCBI's taxonomy places the organism in Eukaryota, Viridiplantae, Streptophyta, Magnoliopsida, Magnoliales, Magnoliaceae.
UUUAUUGUGGAUCACCCCUGGACAAAUGACUUGGUACCUAUUGUUGUAAGUUCGUAUUGAUUUCGCUAAUUGUAAUAGAAAAUAGACUCAAGCUCAAGCUGGGAGAGAUUGUUACCACAAUUCCAACUAUCGAUAAAACCUUUAGUGAAGCCAACCAAAUACAUAAUGAAAGUUCGUCGCAUUAAAUAUGCUUGGCAUGAGUUUUUUCUUGAGGCUAGGUACAACAUUGGUGCAGUUAUCUUGCUCUGGGCACCCGUAGUCUUGAUUGCAUUGUGGAAUAUGCAUUCAUUAUUCAAAGAAAGGGUGACAUUCCAAGCACUCACACUUUCUCUCCUUGCUAGCUAAAUUGGCUGACAAGCUAAAGAAGUCAGUGGAGGAUGAAAUUCAUUUUCUCAAGGGAAGGGUUUCAGAACUUGAAAGUGAUCUUGUGUCGAAGUCCACAGAAGUUAUAUCUGUAAUUUCAAGGAAAGAAGAAGCUCUAUCUUCUGCAUUUGCUGAAAUUGACCAUCUGAAGGAAGAAAAUUCUGUAAAAACGUGAGCAUUAUUGAAUGCAUAUGGAGGGUGUUUACUGUGUUAGAGUGUAUUUAUUUCUUGCACAUGACGGCACGCCUUAGUUGUAAUUCUUAUGAUAGGUUGAGC